AACUAACGCUGGCGGCGUGCCUAACACAUGCAAGUCGAACGAGAAAGUUGGCUUCGGCCGAUGAGUAAAGUGGCGCACGGGUGAGUAACGCGUGGAUAAUCUGCCCUUUAGUUUGGAAUAACGUACCGAAAGGUGCGCUAAUACCGGAUAAUACUGAAUGACUACUGUCGUUUAGUCAAAGAAGGCUUCUGUUUACAUGCUUUUGCUGAAGGAUGAGUCCGCGUACCAUUAGCUAGUUGGUAGGGUAAUGGCCUACCAAGGCGACGAUGGUUAGCUGGUCUGAGAGGAUGAUCAGCCACACUGGAACUGAGACACGGUCCAGACUCCUACGGGAGGCAGCAGUGAGGAAUAUUGCGCAAUGGGGGCAACCCUGACGCAGCAACGCCGCGUGAGUGAGGAAGGUUUUCGGACCGUAAAGCUCUGUCGAGCGGGAAGAAAUGCAUGGUGGCUAAUAUCCAUCAAUGCUUGACGGUACCGCUAAAGGAAGCACC
Molecule: ribosomal RNA, 491 nt
Filed under: uncultured bacterium
Lineage: Bacteria
Description: bacterial SSU rRNA
Rfam family: Bacterial small subunit ribosomal RNA
Source: RNAcentral